CCAAGAGCUGUGGAGUCAGCUGAUGAUGGAUCCUCUGAAAUGUUUUCAGAGUUGAGUCAUGAAUUGAAUCAAAGGGAUGUAAGUAAAGACUGCAGUUUCCAGGUCAUUUCUUAAAGCCAAAGCUGUUUUAUCCUUUUCCUGUGUGUCACCUGGGAAGUAGGGAUGGAAGCUAUCCAUCUCCAGCCCUGGCAACGAAGACAAGACCUGGGAGAGGGAGGAGCAAGAAGGAAGGAGCCAGGGACCCUGCUGGUUCUCCAGCGAGCUACCUUGCCCGCCAGACUGCUCACCGCAGACUGCUUCCUGGGAGGAAGGAAACCGCCUUAGAGGAGUGCUGUGUUUUUCCCUCAGAGCAGUUGAAUCUGCACCGCCCUUUAGUCAAGAGUUAAUUCCUUUGUUUUUGCAACUAAUAAACCUACAGUCUUA
Long non-coding RNA from Ictidomys tridecemlineatus (thirteen-lined ground squirrel), 423 nucleotides. RefSeq lists it as uncharacterized. Lineage: Eukaryota; Metazoa; Chordata; Mammalia; Rodentia; Sciuridae. The record is from RefSeq and is a predicted model, not a curated record.